AGAGUUUGAUCAUGGCUCAGAACGAACGCUGGCGGCGUGCUUAACACAUGCAAGUCGAACGCGAACGAGUUCUUCGGAACUUUAGUAGAGUGGCGCACGGGUGAGUAACGCGUAAGUAAUCUACCCUGAUAUCUGGGAUAACAAUUCGAAAGGAUUGCUAAUACCGGAUACGUUGAUUUAUCAAGAAAGAUGGCCUCUUCAUGAAAGCUAUUGUAUCGGGAGGAGCUUGCGUACCAUUAGCUAGUUGGUGGGGUAAUGGCCUACCAAGGCAACGAUGGUUAGCGGGUCUGAGAGGAUGAUCCGCCACACUGGAACUGAAACACGGACCAGACUCCUACGGGAGGCAGCAGUGAGGAAUAUUGCGCAAUGGGGGCAACCCUGACGCAGCGACGCCGCGUGGAUGAUGAAGGCUUUCGGGUCGUAAAAUCCUGUCAGAUGGGAAGAAAUGGUUCAAGGUCAAUACCCUUGUUCCUUGACGGUACCAUCAAAGGAAGCACCGGCUAACUCCGUGCCAGCAGCCGCGGUAAUACGGAGGGUGCAAGCGUUGUUCGGAAUUACUGGGCGUAAAGCGCGCGUAGGCGGCUUUUUAAGUCAGAUGUGAAAGUCCACGGCUCAACCGUGGAAGUGCAUUUGAAACUGGGGAGCUUGAGUACUGGA
RNAcentral lists this ribosomal RNA (657 nucleotides) under uncultured bacterium. RNAcentral's name for it is "bacterial SSU rRNA". It matches the Rfam family "Bacterial small subunit ribosomal RNA", at positions 8 to 653 of the family's 1533-position model. The record is from RNAcentral.